This 886-nucleotide long non-coding RNA is filed under the name Homo sapiens (human). Its description in RNAcentral is "HSALNT0059809". The record is from RNAcentral. Lineage: Eukaryota; Metazoa; Chordata; Mammalia; Primates; Hominidae.
CACGGAGCAACAGUUCAUUGGGAAAGGAAAGGGGAGGGAGGAGGCUCAGGGAUGGUCCUGUAUCAGCCUGUGCCUUGCAGGGGUUCAACCAUGCAACCCCAACCGCGUUCCUUUGCUUUUAAGUCGAACCAGUAGAGCGUUUUGUUUCAAACUACGUACAUCCUUUGUCCUUUACAAUAUCCCGUCCUAGAACCCCUUAAAAAUCAGUUAUUUAGAUGAGAAAGUCGAGCCCUGUACCUGGAGAGGCCAGUUCUGUAUAGCGGAAAAAAUGAAACUGGGGACCGGCUGGCCAGAUAUCGGAGGCCCCAGGGCUGGUGAUGAGCUCGUGUUUGCCAAACCUAACACCUCACCCUCCGGCCAACGCGAGAAUCCGAGUAUCCCCCACGCCCUCUCAAGCUUGGAUGCCGUUCCCAUCCGACCACUGCCUUUGGCUCACACCAGAGUUCUGCAGAGAUGUCACCGCGAGGACACCCAAACAGGCUGCAGGGAAAAGAAAACUGUGAAUUCAGGCAGGCUAGGGCAAACUCAUCAUCAGGAAAAGAACUGCAGAUCGCAAAUUAAACCAAAUGAUGCCCAGAGAACACAGAAUUUUAAAUGGAAACCUAUGGGGAAAGAUUCAAAGAUUUCAUGUAAACAAAUUUUCUUGGUCAAUAAAGUUCCAUUUGUUUCCAUAACCUCUCCCUCCCCAGUAAAUGAAUAAUAAACUGUCUAAAGUUUAGGACUGUAAGCCACCUCAUUAAGUGAAGAAAGAGGGGCUCAAAUGGGAAAAUAACUUGCUCAAGAUUCUGAAGGUAGACCCGAAGACGAAAUGAUUGAUCUGUGAAUGACCAUGUGAUAUUAUUAAUUCUGGUCUCCUAAUUCAGAGUUUGCAAUAAUUCGCAAACGG